AUUUGCUCAGGAUGAGAAAUGAAGAUGGUCAUCUUGUGCUCAAGCAAACAGAAGUCCUCUGAUGAUCUCAUCAACCAAAUGAGGGGUUUUGACCAAGUGAUGCUCUUGAAAGGAGUGAAAGAAGAGGAUGUGGUAAAUUGUCUUCAGAGAAAAAGCUUCUCAAAAGAUCUUAAAACAGCUUGAAGAAUGGUCUGGGAUCUUAGGACUGGGAGAUCUCACUUGCACCCAGUUAACCUCCAUAGAGAACAUU
Long non-coding RNA from Carassius gibelio (silver crucian carp), 250 nucleotides. RefSeq lists it as uncharacterized. The transcript has 3 exons. Lineage: Eukaryota; Metazoa; Chordata; Actinopteri; Cypriniformes; Cyprinidae. The record is from RefSeq and is a predicted model, not a curated record.